UCAGUCUGUACUCUUUAGUUACAGUUGUUCAACCAGUUACUAAUCUAGCUAAUUGUAACCAGUUGAACAACUGAACCCAAAGGGUGCAAAGUGGUAACAUUUCAUUGAGA
RNAcentral lists this microRNA precursor (110 nucleotides) under Mustela putorius furo (domestic ferret). RNAcentral describes it as "microRNA 582 (ENSMPUG00000020458.1)". The stretch from base 8 to 90 matches the Rfam family "mir-582 microRNA precursor family". Lineage: Eukaryota; Metazoa; Chordata; Mammalia; Carnivora; Mustelidae. The record is from RNAcentral.